RNAcentral lists this ribosomal RNA (244 nucleotides) under uncultured bacterium. RNAcentral describes it as "partial 16S ribosomal RNA". It matches the Rfam family "Bacterial small subunit ribosomal RNA", at positions 527 to 770 of the family's 1533-position model. The record is from RNAcentral.
GUAGGGGGCAAGCGUUAUCCGGAUUUACUGGGUGUAAAGGGAGCGUAGGUGGCAAGGCAAGUCAGAUGUGAAAACCCGGGGCCCAACCCCGGGAGUGCAUUUGAAACUGUCUGGCUAGAGUGCAGGAGAGGUAAGUGGAAUUCCUAGUGUAGCGGUGAAAUGCAUAGAUAUUAGGAGGAACACCAGUGGCGAAGGCGGCUUACUGGACUGUAACUGACGUUGAGGCUCGAAAGCGUGGGGAGCA